This 844-nucleotide long non-coding RNA is filed under the name Scleropages formosus (Asian bonytongue). RNAcentral's name for it is "lncRNA (ENSSFOG00015027636.1)". Lineage: Eukaryota; Metazoa; Chordata; Actinopteri; Osteoglossiformes; Osteoglossidae. The record is from RNAcentral.
GUCCUGCCCUGGGCAUUCCUGUCGUCUCCUUUUCAGUCACUGAACGUCCUCUCCUCAUUUUAUUUAAGGCGUAAAGGACGCUUGGCGUGGAUCGGACCCUCAGAAUAAAAGAUGUGUAUUGCUUUCAUUUGCUAUGACUCUGCAGCUGUAAGAAGCAGAAGGAGGGAAUCACUGUCAAGCCUUUUCCUGGAGGAACAGUAAUAUAUCACCAAACUCAUCAGAAAGGUCAUGUCCUGGAGGAAAUGACCGUGGAGCAAAUGGUUCCAAUUGCAGCUGAGGUUGAUGAUGGCGAUUAUGACAUUCUCUACAUUGGCGAUUUGAUCCAAGGUGACCAAAGUCACUGUGUCAGCCCAGGAAUCCCUGCGGCUUGUAUCGUAAAGAGAAGAUGGCCCCCGGCAAACACGUGCACGUUGUGAAGCACAAGCCGAGCACAAUCGUGUUCUCCAAGGAGAGCAUGUGGGUGGUGAUGACUGAAAUUGCAAAGAGGGACCUGAUGUGGUCCAGAAAGCUGUUUUUAAGGCCAUGUUUACCCACCGGACACACUGUUGAUGAUGCACACGCAUGCUUGGCCUUCUCUGAGCACAGCAAUUAUGAGACUGUCGAAAACCAGAGAGACAGACAACCAUGUGGCAUCCAUGACCUCUUUGAAGAUCAGUACCAUAGAGGUCACAGGGAACUGGAACCUAACCCAGCAACACAGGGCAUAAGGCUGGAGGGGGAGGGAACACACCCAGGACGGGAUGCCAGACUGUCGCAAGGCACCCCAACCAGGACUCAAACCCCAGACCCACCAGAGAGCAGGACCUAGUCCAACCCACUGCACCCCCCAUGUAAGAUAUAUCGG